This 254-nucleotide ribosomal RNA is filed under the name uncultured bacterium. RNAcentral describes it as "partial 16S ribosomal RNA". It matches the Rfam family "Bacterial small subunit ribosomal RNA", at positions 524 to 776 of the family's 1533-position model. The record is from RNAcentral.
UACGUAGGGGGCGAGCGUUGUCCGGAUUUAUUGGGCGUAAAGAGCUCGUAGGCGGUUUGGCAAGUCGGGUGUGAAAACUCCGGGCUCAACUCGGAGACGCCACUCGAUACUGCUAUGACUCGAGUCCGGUAGGGGAGUGCGGAAUUCCUGGUGUAGCGGUGAAAUGCGCAGAUAUCAGGAGGAACACCGGUGGCGAAGGCGGUGGUCUGGGCCGGCACUGACGCUGAGGAGCGAAAGCGUGGGGAGCAAACAGG